Non-coding RNA from Ictidomys tridecemlineatus (thirteen-lined ground squirrel), 73 nucleotides. Lineage: Eukaryota; Metazoa; Chordata; Mammalia; Rodentia; Sciuridae. The record is from Rfam.
GGGGAUAUAGCUCAGUUGGUAGAGUGCUUGCCUCUCAUGCACAACACCCUGGGUUUAAUCCCCAGCACCACCA